GCGGAGGGAUCAUUACACAAAUAUGAAGGCGGGCUGGAACCUCUCGGGGUUACAGCCUUGCUGAAUUAUUCACCCUUGUCUUUUGCGUACUUCUUGUUUCCUUGGUGGGUUCGCCCACCACUAGGACAAACAUAAACCUUUUGUAAUUGCAAUCAGCGUCAGUAACAAAUUAAUAAUUACAACUUUCAACAACGGAUCUCUUGGUUCUGGCA
RNAcentral lists this unclassified non-coding RNA (212 nucleotides) under uncultured fungus. Its description in RNAcentral is "partial contains 18S rRNA, ITS1, 5.8S rRNA". The record is from RNAcentral. Lineage: Eukaryota; Fungi.